RNAcentral lists this non-coding RNA (27 nucleotides) under Homo sapiens (human). Lineage: Eukaryota; Metazoa; Chordata; Mammalia; Primates; Hominidae. The record is from RNAcentral.
UAGUGAGACAGCAACCAGGGCAGCCAA